Long non-coding RNA from Gallus gallus (chicken), 2744 nucleotides. The record is from Ensembl. NCBI's taxonomy places the organism in Eukaryota, Metazoa, Chordata, Aves, Galliformes, Phasianidae.
UCUGUUUUCCCGACCUUGAAGGGCAGAGGCCAGGCAGCACCGCAUCGAUCUGUGGUGGAUAGGGCAAGGAAUGGGGCUCAGGAGCUCCUCUGUGCUCUGAGAAAUACGAACGGAGUGCGCUGCGUGGAGCUGUGGUGCGAGCUGGGGCCAUUUGGAGAAACUUUACCGUGGCUGCCCUAAAAACUCCACCAGACACAUUCAAGAAUCCCUCCUCAGAAAAGCAAAUGACUUCCCACAGCCUAAAGUAAGGUGCUGGUUACCUGCUGGCGUUUAUCCCCCUCUGCUUGCAGCUGCCCUGGCUGAGCGCAGCAGGAGAGCCUGGAGUGAUGGGGCAUCACUGCUGGGAUGGGGCUGCUGCACGGCACAGACUGUGGAGUUCUUCCAAGAAUUUUUCAAUUUCCACAGAUGAAAAUAUAGUCUAAACCAGAUGCCAGCUGAAACGCACUCACUUCGUACCACCUCGCCAAGGCAGCGCGCCACGGGCUCAGCAAUGUGACCUUUAAAAUGGCCUUUCUAGAACACACUGCUAAGAGCACUUUCUAAAAAGCCACAAUUGCAGCUACUCUUAUUACUCAUAAUGUCUUUGAUGGAGAGGAAUACUCAGGGAACUUCAGCUUCAGCAACCCGGUAGAGUCAGUUCUGUGCAGCGGAGGCUUCCUUCGUGGCAUUACAGACUUGAGACCACGAUGAGAGCGUUGGUGAUAAUGAACAUUUCCUAAAGCAUUACUUGUAUAAGAUUAAAAUGAAAUAAAAGCAGUGAAACCUUUGCUUUGCCCAUGUGAAAGAAUGGCUCUGCCACUUAGCCAUUCGUUCCUAGAAGUGGAUAUGUAUACCUGUGCCUUCUCCAUGUAUUUGUAAGUCUAACAAAUAUUAUACACACAAAUAUACACCAAUGUUAUGCAAAAUGCAUUCAGGCAAUGUAUUUCAAAUCAAUGAAUAUUUUGAGUCAUCAGCCUAAAUGGUGUUUGUAGAUGCAUAAUUGCAUGCUACUUUCUGGGAUUUUUUGUAGUAUUCUGAGUGGCGCUGAGCCGCCACUUCAUUAAAACUGUCCCUUGGGAUCCAAUUCUUUGGGUUUGUUUUUGCAUGUGCCAGGAAAUUUGGACCCUGAUUUCUGUAUGGCCACCACUGCCAUGCUGGUGCACUGCCGGCCGGCGGCACUGUGUGGCACUGCAUGGCCCUGGUGGGCACAGGGAGCAGAAUAACAUGAGAUCCAGUUUGCUUUGGUCAGUCUGGGAGAGACUUCACAGCAGCAGUGAUGGGACACUUUAGAGUUGGCUGAGUGGAGUUUUCCUAUCAUUUCUGAACCUUCUGUCCUUAAACUGAUUCAACUAAAUAUGUGACAUUUUGAGGAAAACUUGCCCUGUGUCUUUAGCUUCUUUCAUACCAGACAGGGUGGGAACAAGAUAAGUUUGCUUAAAAGCCUUUGUUUUCACUCACUUCUCUACUUGCUUGGUGUCCCAACACACUGGUAUUCAGAUUUGUCACCUCACAGGGCCUUGGUUCUGCCAGAACUCCUGCCUCUGGCUACCAGCAGUGGGAUAUUGAAGGGUUUGAGCUGCUGUCAUCAAGCAGCAACAAACUUACUGCUUUAAUCAGCUCCUUUCCAUGCGAGAUACAACUUGCUGAGCUCCGUGGUUCCUAGAGGUAAUGCCUCAUUUCCAAAAACUCCUGUUUCUGACCAUUGCUGUGGUUUCCCUGGAGUGGGACAGCCAUCCUUGCUCAGUCCCUGCCCCAUCAUUGCCCUGCCCAGCAAUACAGGGCCAGAAGCCCCACUCCCACUUCUCCUUGCACAGCCUUUGGUGGCUCAUGGGACUGCGCUGGCACUGCUGCUCUGUGCCAUGUGGUGACAGGGCUGUUAUUCCAGAGCAACCGGAUGGGGACCACCAAUUUAGUUCUCACAGACCAUGGCUUCUGGCUCUUCGAGAGCAUUGUUUUGACACUGGCAGGAAAAAAUUAGGCCAUUGUCUUUGCUCCCAUGAAAUUUCCUGUCCUCUCUUUAUGAGGUGUGUGGCUGCACAAAGUGCCUUUCUGCUCCCGCAGCAGCGAAUCUUGACACCCACAGCUUGGGCUGGUGUCCCAGGGUGGGUUUUCUUUCCGGGUUGAUUUGGGAUUUUUGCCCACGGAAAAUGAAUGAAUGAACAAAUAAUUUGCAGCUGUCCGAAUGGCCGUAACAUCUCCGCGCUCUGCCCAGAGCUCUGGAAAUGGAUAUCAGAGCUGCUCAGGGCUUUGAUGCAGUCUCUGCACCUGGGCUAUGCUCUGGGUCUGGCAUAUCCCCGUGUGCUGUCACUGCCCUAACACAGUGCAGUCAAGGCUCUGGUAUCCUCUGUUCAAAUAACUCAUCUUCUGCAGUGUGCACACUAUGCAACUCAGCAUUCCCUGUUUGAUAAUGAAGGUCAAACCCAAAAGCAACUGGUCAAUUUUGGUCUCAUCCUUUUUAUUCCUAACAAAGAAGCAGCAGUACCUGCAGGCCCAGAGCGUGGUGUAAGCUGGUGUGAUGCUCUCCUUUGCUGUGUGUAAGGACUGCUGAUGCCAGCAGGUAUCUGGUGCAGAUGAGUGCAUUCACAUGGAAGCCCAUGUGCAGCUCUGCUGUGCCGGGUAAUUGUGGGUCACUUGGUUGGCUCUGUAAGGUCUCACCAUGUAGGAAUAAGCACUCAAAGGAGCGGACAUUUGCCUGCUUUCCAUACUACAGGCAUCAUUAAGGGCUUUGUUUUCUUUUUUAUCAGGCUCUGUAUAGAAUUUUCAAU